UACAGAGGUCCCAAGCGUUGUUCGGAUUCACUGGGCGUAAAGGGUGCGUAGGCGGUCGGGUAAGUCUGAUGUGAAAGCUCUGGGCUUAACCCAGAAAUGGCAUUGGAUACUAUUCGGCUCGAGGUCUGGAGGGGGGACUGGAAUACUUGGUGUAGCAGUGAAAUGCGUAGAUAUCAAGUGGAACACCAGUGGCGAAGGCGAGUCCCUGGACAGAUCCUGACGCUGAGGCACGAAAGCUAGGGGAGCAAACAGG
This 253-nucleotide ribosomal RNA is filed under the name uncultured bacterium. RNAcentral describes it as "partial 16S ribosomal RNA". It matches the Rfam family "Bacterial small subunit ribosomal RNA", at positions 524 to 776 of the family's 1533-position model. The record is from RNAcentral.